AGAGUUUGAUCCCUGGCUCAGGACGAACGCUGGCGGGCGCGCCUAACACAUGCAAGUCGAACGGGGUGCAUCUGAAUGAAGUUUUCGGAUGGAAUUUGGAUGUACCUAGUGGCGAACGGGUGAGUAACACGUGAAUAACCUGCCCUGGAGUGGGGGACAACAGUUGGAAACGACUGCUAAUACCGCAUAAGCCCACAGAGCCGCAUGGCUCAGGGGGAAAAGGAGCAAUUCGCUUCAGGAUGGAUUCGCGUCCAAUUAGCUGGAUGGUGAGGUAACGGCCCACCAUGGCGACGAUUGGUAGCCGGACUGAGAGGUUGAUCGGCCACAUUGGGACUGGGACACGGCCCAGACUCCUACGGGAGGCAGCAGUGGGGAAUAUUGCACAAUGGGGGAAACCCUGAUGCAGCGACGCCGCGUGGAGGAAGAAGGUCUUCGGAUUGUAAACUCCUGUCGUUGGGGACGAUAAUGACGGUACCCAACAAGAAAGCCACGGCUAACUACGUGCCAGCAGCCGCGGUAAAACGUAGGUGGCAAGCGUUGUCCGGAAUUACUGGGUGUAAAGGGAGCGCAGGCGGAAGGACAAGUUGGAAGUGAAACCCACGGGCUCAACCCGUGAACUGCUUUCAAAACUGUUUUUCUUGAGUGGUGUAGAGGUAGGCGGAAUUCCCGGUGUAGCGGUGGAAUGCGUAGAUAUCUGGAAGAACACCAAUGGCGAAGGCAGGUUUCCAGCACAUAACUGACGCUCAGGUGCGAAGGUGCGGGGAUCAAACAGGAUUAGAUACCCUGGUAGUCCGCACAGUAAACGAUGUGCACUAGGUGUCUGGGCAUAAGCCCGGGUGCCAAAGCAAACGCGAUAAGUGCACCGCCUGGGGAGUAUGCCCGCAAGGGUGAAACUCAAAGGAAUUGACGGGGGCCCGCACAUGCGGUGGAGCAUGUGGUUUAAUUCGAUGGUACGCGAGGAACCUUACCUGGGUUUGACAUACAUACCGAUUAUUUAGAGAUAAGUAAGCGUAGCAAUACGGGUAUGAACAGGUGCUGCAUGGCUGUCGUCAGCUCGUGCCGUGAGGUGUUGGGUUAAGUCCCGCAACGAGCGCAACCCCUACUGCCAGUUACUAACAGGUGAAGCUGAGGACUCUGGCGGAACUGCCGGCGACAAGCCGGAGGAAGGCGGGGAUGACGUCAAGUCAUCAUGGCCCUUAUGUCCAGGGCUACACACGUGCUACAAUGGUCGGUACAGAGUGAUGCGAGGCAGUGAUGCGGAGCAAAACGCAGAAAACCGAUCGUAGUCCGGAUUGGAGUCUGAAACCCGACUCCAUGAAGUUGGAAUCGCUAGUAAUCGCACGUCAGCACGGUGCGGUGAAUACGUUCCCGGGC
This 1374-nucleotide ribosomal RNA is filed under the name uncultured bacterium. Its description in RNAcentral is "bacterial SSU rRNA". It matches the Rfam family "Bacterial small subunit ribosomal RNA", at positions 8 to 1379 of the family's 1533-position model. The record is from RNAcentral.